RNAcentral lists this ribosomal RNA (332 nucleotides) under uncultured eukaryote. Its description in RNAcentral is "partial 18S ribosomal RNA". It matches the Rfam family "Eukaryotic small subunit ribosomal RNA", at positions 1470 to 1796 of the family's 1831-position model. The record is from RNAcentral.
CCCUUAGAUGUUCUGGGCUGCACACGUGCUACACUGGCAGGUACAGCGAGCUUCAUGCCCUGAUCUGAAAGGAAUGGGAAAUCUUUUCAAAACCUGCCGUGCUUGGGAUAGAUGUUUGCAAUUAUUCAUCUUCAACGAGGAUUGCCUUGUAAGCGCACGUCAUCAGCGUGCAUUGAAUACGACCCUGUAUUCUGUACACACCGCCCGUCGCUCCUACCGAUUGAAGUUUUCGGUGAGUUGACAGGAGGAUUUUUUUGAAACUGGUUCGCCAGUGGAUUUUAGAUCCAAAUGCCAACGAAUCGAUGGCUUUAGAGGAAGGAGAAGUCGUAACA